This 442-nucleotide ribosomal RNA is filed under the name Klebsiella pneumoniae subsp. pneumoniae. RNAcentral's name for it is "bacterial SSU rRNA". It matches the Rfam family "Bacterial small subunit ribosomal RNA", at positions 1090 to 1532 of the family's 1533-position model. Lineage: Bacteria; Pseudomonadati; Pseudomonadota; Gammaproteobacteria; Enterobacterales; Enterobacteriaceae. The record is from RNAcentral.
CAACGAGCGCAACCCUUAUCCUUUGUUGCCAGCGGUUAGGCCGGGAACUCAAAGGAGACUGCCAGUGAUAAACUGGAGGAAGGUGGGGAUGACGUCAAGUCAUCAUGGCCCUUACGACCAGGGCUACACACGUGCUACAAUGGCAUAUACAAAGAGAAGCGACCUCGCGAGAGCAAGCGGACCUCAUAAAGUAUGUCGUAGUCCGGAUUGGAGUCUGCAACUCGACUCCAUGAAGUCGGAAUCGCUAGUAAUCGUAGAUCAGAAUGCUACGGUGAAUACGUUCCCGGGCCUUGUACACACCGCCCGUCACACCAUGGGAGUGGGUUGCAAAAGAAGUAGGUAGCUUAACCUUCGGGAGGGCGCUUACCACUUUGUGAUUCAUGACUGGGGUGAAGUCGUAACAAGGUAACCGUAGGGGAACCUGCGGUUGGAUCACCUCCUU